Molecule: ribosomal RNA, 1334 nt
Filed under: Aedes albopictus (Asian tiger mosquito)
Lineage: Eukaryota; Metazoa; Arthropoda; Insecta; Diptera; Culicidae
Description: 16S ribosomal RNA
Rfam family: Archaeal large subunit ribosomal RNA (bases 1078-1237)
Source: RNAcentral
UAAAUUUUAUUUAUUAAUUUUAUUUAUUUAAGUAUUAUAUUUAAUAAAAAUAAUUUUAAUUCAAUAUAGUUUUAGUAUUUUUUAAAGAAAUAAUAAUUUUAAUAAUAGUUUAUUUGUAUUGUAAAAGAAGAUUGAAAUAAUUUGAAAAAUUUUUAUUUUAAAAGAAAAUUUAAUUUAUUGUACCUUGUGUAUCAGGGUUUAUUAAUUAAUUAAUUAUUAUAGUAAUUUUUCUCGAAUUUUAAAGAUUUAAUUAUAUAUAAAAGUUAUUGUGGAAUAAUUAUUUUUAAUAUAUAAUUAGAAAUGAAAUGUUAAUCGUUUUAAAAUAUAUCUAGUUUUUUAAGAAAUAAAUUUAAUUUAGAUUUAUAAAUUAAAAGUAUUAUUUAUUUAAUAUUUUUAAUUUAUAAAAUUAAUAUUUUAAGGGAUUAGCUUUAAAAUAAAUUUUUAAAUUUUAAAAAAGUAUUUAAUAAAUGUAAGCUUAAAAAUAGUUAUCAUUAAUAAAUUUGUUAUAAUUUAUUUUAAAUUUUUUAUUAUUUAUUAUAAAAUUAAAUUAUUUAUUAAAAUAUAAAUUUUAAUAUUAAUGAUUUAUAAAUUAUGGUAAAAUUAGUAUAUUUAAUUUAUAUAAAUUAUUUAAAUUGAGAGGUUUAAAUAAGGAAUUCGGCAAAUUAUAUAUUCACCUGUUUAUCAAAAACAUGUCUUUUUGUAUUUAAUUUAAAGUCUAACCUGCCCACUGAUAGAUAUUAAAGGGCCGCAGUAUUUUGACUGUGCGAAGGUAGCAUAAUCAGUAGUCUUUUAAUUGAAGGCUUGUAUGAAUGGUUGAAUGAGAUAUAUACUGUCUUUUUUAAAUUUUUAUAGAAUUUUAUUUUUUAAUUAAAAAGUUAAAAUAUAAUUAAAAGACGAGAAGACCCUAUAGAUCUUUAUUUUUUUUAAUUAUAAGUUAAAAAGAAUAAUUAAAUUUAUAGUUUUAUAAAAAAUUUUACUGGGGUGGUAUUAAAAUUUAAUUAACUUUUAUUAUUUGUUUACAUUAAUAUAUGUAUAUUUGAUCCAAUUUUAUUGAUUAAAAAAUUAAGUUACCUUAGGGAUAACAGCGUAAUUUUUUUUUAGAGUUCUUAUCGACAAAAAAGAUUGCGACCUCGAUGUUGGAUUAAGAAUUAUUUUUAGGUGUAGAAGUUUAAAGUUUAGGUCUGUUCGACCUUUGAAUUCUUACAUGAUCUGAGUUCAAACCGGCGUAAGCCAGGUUGGUUUCUAUCUUUAAUAAAUUAUUAUAUUAUAGUACGAAAGGACCUAAUAUAAAAAAUAUAAAUUUUAAAUUUAUGAAUUAUAUUAAUAUUUAAUAA